This 861-nucleotide ribosomal RNA is filed under the name Triticum aestivum (bread wheat). Its description in RNAcentral is "partial small subunit ribosomal RNA". The record is from RNAcentral. Lineage: Eukaryota; Viridiplantae; Streptophyta; Magnoliopsida; Poales; Poaceae.
AUGAAGCUAUGGGAGAGAGUCAUUGAGCACCGAUUAAGAAGAAUGACAAGCGUGACCAAAAAUCAGUUUGGUUUCAUGCCUGGGAGGUCGACCAUGGAAGCCAUUUUCUUGGUACGACAACUUAUGGAGAGAUAUAGGGAGCAAAAGAAGGACUUGCAUAUGGUGUUCAUUGACUUGGGGAAGGCCUAUGAUAAGAUACCGCGGAAUGUCAUGUGGUGGGCCUUGGAGAAACACAAAGUCCCAGCAAAGUACAUUACCCUCAUUAAGGACAUGUACGAUAAUGUUGUGACAAGUGUUCGAACAGGUGAUGUCGACACUAAUGACUUCCCGAUUAAGAUAGGACUGCAUCAGGGGUCAGCUUUGAGCCCUUAUCUUUUUGCAUUGGUGAUGGAUGAGGUCACAAGGGAUAUACAAGGAGAUAUCCCAUGGUGUAUGCUCUUUGCGGAUGAUGUGGUGCUAGUUGACGAUAGUCGGACGGGGGUAAAUAGGAAGUUAGAGUUAUGGAGACAAACCUUGGAAUCGAAAGGGUUUAGGCUUAGUAGAACUAAAACUGAGUACGUGAUGUGCGGUUUCAGUACUACUAGGUGUGAGGAGGAGGAGGUUAGCCUUGCUGGCCAGGUGGUACCCCAGAAGGACACCUUUCGGUAUUUGGGGUCAAUGCUGCAGGAGGAUGGGGGUAUUGGUGAAGAUGUGAACCAUGGAAUCAAAGCCGGAUGGAUGAAGUGGCGCCAAGCUUCUGGCAUUCUCUAUGACAAGAGAGUGCCACAAAAGCUAAAAGGCAAGUUCUACAGGACGGUGGUUCGACCCGCAAUGUUGUAUGGCGCUGAGUGUUGGCCGACUAAAAGGCGACAUGUUCAAUAG